This 889-nucleotide long non-coding RNA is filed under the name Chrysolophus pictus (golden pheasant). RNAcentral describes it as "lncRNA (ENSCPIG00010010770.1)". Lineage: Eukaryota; Metazoa; Chordata; Aves; Galliformes; Phasianidae. The record is from RNAcentral.
AAUGGAUAAAGCAGAAAGAAUUGGUCUUGGUCUGGGACACUCAAAAUGCUGAUCCUUUUGAACAAUGUGGACAAGUACAGAAUAUUGUCCAAUGUAUUCAUCCUUGAGGAGAAAUAAACUAAAUCUGUGUGCUCUGACUGUCUCAUAGGAGUUGAAAAAGAGCCCCUCCCUUUUUUUUUUUUAUGUUUGCAUGUUUUCAGAGUUUCCAAAGGAAUUCGCUUGGGCCAAGCAUUUUGAGGAGUAUAUCUGAUUUUCUCUGAAAAAUGAUUAUCUAGUUGCACAGUUGUGAGGUUUGGGGCCAGAGAUUCUAUUAUUUAUAGCUUUGAGAAUCUGAAGUCAGUAUGGAGCUGUGUACCUACGCAAUUCCCUAUUGCUGGCCUCAGAGUGAAGACUGAGGUGAAUUCUCCAUGACAAAGAAGAAUUCAUAUUGCAGCCUUGCUCUGACAGCACUGGGGCAGUGAUAUGGUGAAGACAAGAAAAUUUUCCAUUGCUGUAUACCAUGGAAAGGUAAAGUGCAACCGGCCACUUCCUCAGUUUGGCAGUCACAAGUACGUGAAGAGAAGGAGUUCUCAUGAAUUUUCAGCCAUGAGUCCAUCUGGGAAUAAUUCCACUAUGAGAAGAAGGCUUCCAUUCUAUCAAGAAAAAAGGCUGCAUGGAAAUCACGGAAAGCUACAGAAGAAAGUAUCAGUCAUUGUUUAAAAGCAUUGUGGCCUGUGAAGAUGGAAACCAAAAUGAGAAUUUGCUUCCAAAUUUUAUAAGCUUCUAGAAACUAAAAUGAUGAGAAACAAAUGCAAAAAGUUCACAAAAGUACCAGUUACUUAAAAAAAAAAUCUUAAGGCCUUAUUCUUUUAUGAUGAAUAAAACUGAUUAGAAGGAUAUUAAUUAACCA